This 219-nucleotide long non-coding RNA is filed under the name Ananas comosus (pineapple). Its description in RNAcentral is "long non-coding RNA (ACOM_LNC009595)". The record is from RNAcentral. Lineage: Eukaryota; Viridiplantae; Streptophyta; Magnoliopsida; Poales; Bromeliaceae.
UUAACCGAUUUGCAUUUCAUUAUUUUGUCAUUUGAUCUGUUUUACUUAAUUAUCUCGUGUUUCUUAUUUUGUACUUUACAUAAGAAAUUUUUAUCAUCAGCCAGUUAGAAAUAACAGAUGAAAAAUUAUGGCUCCGUUUCGUACUCAGUUGUAUUUAUGACUUAACAGAUAUUAAUUUUUUGUAACCUAUUGUUGAAGAAAAAAAAUAAAAUCUCUACA